Molecule: ribosomal RNA, 503 nt
Filed under: uncultured Bacteroidota bacterium
Lineage: Bacteria; Pseudomonadati; Bacteroidota
Description: bacterial SSU rRNA
Rfam family: Bacterial small subunit ribosomal RNA
Source: RNAcentral
GCUUGCUCUUGAUGACGAGUGGCGCACGGGUGAGUAACGCGUAUGCAAUCUACCUAUAACUGAGGAAUAGCCCAGAGAAAUUUGGAUUAAUACCUCAUAAUAUUAUUAUUUGGCAUCAUUUAAUAAUUAAAACUCCGGUGGUUAUAGAUGAGCAUGCGUUCUAUCAGCUAGUUGGUGAGGUAAGAGCUCACCAAGGCUACGAUAGAUAGGGGGCCUGAAAGGGUGAUCCCCCACACUGGUACUGAGACACGGACCAGACUCCUACGGGAGGCAGCAGUGAGGAAUAUUGCACAAUGGAGGAAACUCUGAUGCAGCCAUGCCGCGUGCAGGAUGAAGGCCCUAUGGGUUGUAAACUGCUUUUUUACAAGAAGAAACCUUGGUACGUGUACCAACUUGACGGUAUUGUAAGAAUAAGCACCGGCUAACUCCGUGCCAGCAGCCGCGGUAAUACGGAGGGUGCAAGCGUUAUCCGGAUUUAUUAGGUUUAAAGGGUUCGCAGGCGG